GAGCAUGGUCUUGGCAAACACCUUGAUUUUGGACUUCUGGCCUCCAGAACUGUGAGAAAACAAAUUUCUGUUGUUUUAAGCCACCCAGAUUGUAAUAACUUGUUAUGGCAGCCCUAGAAA
Molecule: microRNA precursor, 120 nt
Filed under: Chlorocebus sabaeus (green monkey)
Lineage: Eukaryota; Metazoa; Chordata; Mammalia; Primates; Cercopithecidae
Description: miRNA (ENSCSAG00000019909.1)
Source: RNAcentral